RNAcentral lists this ribosomal RNA (429 nucleotides) under Gemmatimonadota bacterium. RNAcentral describes it as "Gemmatimonadetes bacterium partial 16S ribosomal RNA". It matches the Rfam family "Bacterial small subunit ribosomal RNA", at positions 355 to 776 of the family's 1533-position model. Lineage: Bacteria; Pseudomonadati; Gemmatimonadota. The record is from RNAcentral.
UAGGGAAUCUUCGGCAAUGGACGAAAGUCUGACCGAGCAACGCCGCGUGAGUGAAGAAGGUUUUCGGAUCGUAAAACUCUGUUGUUAGAGAAGAACAAGGACGUUAGUAACUGAACGUCCCCUGACGGUAUCUAACCAGAAAGCCACGGCUCACUACGUGCCAGCAGCCGCGGUAAUACGUAGGUGGCAAGCGUUGUCCGGAUUUAUUGGGCGUAAAGCGAGCGCAGGCGGUUUCUUAAGUCUGAUGUGAAAGCCCCCGGCUCAACCGGGGAGGGUCAUUGGAAACUGGGAGACUUGAGUGCAGAAGAGGAGAGUGGAAUUCCAUGUGUAGCGGUGAAAUGCGUAGAUAUAUGGAGGAACACCGGUGGCGAAGGCGGCUCUCUGGUCUGUAACUGACGCUGAGGCACGAAAGCGUGGGGAGCAAACAGG